Molecule: ribosomal RNA, 1400 nt
Filed under: uncultured bacterium
Lineage: Bacteria
Description: bacterial SSU rRNA
Rfam family: Bacterial small subunit ribosomal RNA
Source: RNAcentral
UUAGAGUUUGAUCCUGGCUCAGGAUGAACGCUAGCGGCAGGCCUAACACAUGCAAGUCGAGGGGUAACAGGGGCUUCGGCCCGCUGACGACCGGCGCACGGGUGAGUAACGCGUAUGCAACCUGCCUGUAACAGCGGGAUAGCUCCCUGAAAGGGGAAUUAACACCGCAUAAGACCACGCUCUCGCAUGGGGACGGGGUAAAAUAUUUAUAGGUUACAGAUGGGCAUGCGUGACAUUAGUUAGUUGGUGAGGUAACGGCUCACCAAGACUGCGAUGUCUAGGGGUUCUGAGAGGAAGGUCCCCCACACUGGAACUGAGACACGGUCCAGACUCCUACGGGAGGCAGCAGUGAGGAAUAUUGGUCAAUGGACGCAAGUCUGAACCAGCCAUGUCGCGUGCAGGAUGACUGCCCUAUGGGUUGUAAACUGCUUUUAUAUUGGAAGAAUUGCGCUUACGAGUUAAGCGUUUGACGGUACAUUAUGAAUAAGGAUCGGCUAACUCCGUGCCAGCAGCCGCGGUAAUACGGAGGAUCCGAGCGUUAUCCGGAUUUAUUGGGUUUAAAGGGUGCGUAGGCGGAAAUGUAAGUCAGUGGUGAAAUCCUGCAGCUUAACUGUAGAAUAGCCGUUGAAACUGUGUUUCUUGAGUACAUUUGAGGUAGGCGGAAUGUGGUGUGUAGCGGUGAAAUGCAUAGAUAUACCACAGAACACCGAUUGCGAAGGCAGCUUACUAAACUGUCACUGACGCUGAUGCGCGAAAGCGUGGGUAGCAAACAGGAUUAGAUACCCUGGUAGUCCACGCUGUAAACGAUGGAUACUAGGUGUAGGAGGUAUCGACCCCUUCUGUGCCGGAGUUAACACAAUAAGUAUCCCACCUGGGGAGUACGGCCGCAAGGCUGAAACUCAAAGGAAUUGACGGGGGCCCGCACAAGCGGUGGAGCAUGUGGUUUAAUUCGAUGCAACGCGCAGAACCUUACCAGGGUUUGACAUGGAAUCGCCGCAGCGAGAGAUCGCUGUUUAGUGUUUACACUACGGUUCACACAGGUGCUGCAUGGCUGUCGUCAGCUCGUGUCGUGAGAUGUUGGGUUAAGUCCCGCAACGAGCGCAACCCAUAUUUCUAGUUGCUACUCGCAAGAGAGCUCUCUAGAGAGACUGCCGGGGACAACCCGGAGGAAGGGGUGGAUGACGUCAAGUCCUCAUGGCCCUUACAUCCUGGGCUACACACGUGCUACAAUGGUCGGUACAAAGGGCAGCAAAACCGUGAGGUGGAGCGAAUCCUCAAAGCCGGCCUCAGUUCGGAUUGGAGUCUGCAACUCGACUCCAUGAAGCUGGAAUCGCUAGUAAUCGUGGGUCAGCAUACCACGGUGAAUACGUUCCCGGGCCUUGUACACACCGCCCGUCAAG